Oncorhynchus keta (chum salmon) is the source of this 962-nucleotide long non-coding RNA. RefSeq lists it as uncharacterized. Lineage: Eukaryota; Metazoa; Chordata; Actinopteri; Salmoniformes; Salmonidae. The record is from RefSeq and is a predicted model, not a curated record. The transcript has 4 exons.
GACUCAGACAGGGACAGGUUUGUACUACAGACAGGGACAGGUUGGUACUACAGACUCAGACAGGGACAGGUUUGUAUUACAGACUCAGACAGGGACAGGUUGGUACUACAGACAGGGACAGGUUGGUACUACAGACUUAGACAGGGACAGGUUGGUACUACAGACUCAGACAGGGACAGGUUGGUAUUACAGACUCAGACAGGGACAGGUUGGUACUGCAGACUCAGACAGGGACAGGUUGGUACUACAGACUCAGACAGGGACAGGUUGGUACUGCAGACUCAGACAGGGACAGGUUGGUACUACAGACAGGGACAGGUUGGUACUACAGACUCAGACAGGGACAGGUUGGUACUACAGACUCAGACAGGGACAGGUUGGUACUGCAGACUCAGACAGGGACAGGUUGGUACUACAGACAGGGACAGGUUGGUACUACAGACUUAGACAGGGACAGGUUGGUACUACAGACUCAGACAGGGACAGGUUGGUAUUACAGACUCAGACAGGGACAGGUUGGUAUUACAGACUCAGACAGGGACAGGUUGGUACUGCAGACAGGGACAGGUUGGUAUUACAGACUCAGACAGGGACAGGUUGGUACUACAGACUCAGACAGGGACAGGUUGGUACUGCAGACAGGGACAGGUUGGUAUUACAGACUCAGACAGGGACAGGUUGGUAUUACAGACUCAGACAGGGACAGGUUGGUACUACAGAAUCAGACAGGGACAGGUUGGUACUACAGACUCAGACAGGGACAGGUUGGUACUACAGAAUCAGACAGGGACAGGUUGGUACUACAGACUCACACAGGGACAGGUUGGUACUACAGACAGGGACAGGUUGAAAAUGUCAGUGAAGACACCUGCCAGAUGGUCAACGUGCUCUCGGUUCGCGUCCUGGUCAUCCGUCUGGUUCUGUGGCCUUAUGAACGUUGACGGUCCUCACAUCGGCUACGG